This 1075-nucleotide ribosomal RNA is filed under the name Vibrio sp. R42(2010). Its description in RNAcentral is "bacterial SSU rRNA". It matches the Rfam family "Bacterial small subunit ribosomal RNA", at positions 63 to 1146 of the family's 1533-position model. Lineage: Bacteria; Pseudomonadati; Pseudomonadota; Gammaproteobacteria; Vibrionales; Vibrionaceae. The record is from RNAcentral.
CGAGUUAACUGAACCUUCGGGGAACGUUAACGGCGUCGAGCGGCGGACGGGUGAGUAAUGCCUGGGAAAUUGCCCUGAUGUGGGGGAUAACCAUUGGAAACGAUGGCUAAUACCGCAUAAUAGCUUCGGCUCAAAGAGGGGGACCUUCGGGCCUCUCGCGUCAGGGUAUGCCCAGGUGGGAUUAGCUAGUUGGUGAGGUAAUGGCUCACCAAGGCGACGAUCCCUAGCUGGUCUGAGAGGAUGAUCAGCCACACUGGAACUGAGACACGGUCCAGACUCCUACGGGAGGCAGCAGUGGGGAAUAUUGCACAAUGGGCGCAAGCCUGAUGCAGCCAUGCCGCGUGUGUGAAGAAGGCCUUCGGGUUGUAAAGCACUUUCAGUCGUGAGGAAGGUGGUGUAGUUAAUAGCUGCAUUAUUUGACGUUAGCGACAGAAGAAGCACCGGCUAACUCCGUGCCAGCAGCCGCGGUAAUACGGAGGGUGCGAGCGUUAAUCGGAAUUACUGGGCGUAAAGCGCAUGCAGGUGGUUAGUUAAGUCAGAUGUGAAAGCCCGGGGCUCAACCUCGGAACUGCAUUUGAAACUGGCUGACUAGAGUACUGUAGAGGGGGGUAGAAUUUCAGGUGUAGCGGUGAAAUGCGUAGAGAUCUGAAGGAAUACCGGUGGCGAAGGCGGCCCCCUGGACAGAUACUGACACUCAGAUGCGAAAGCGUGGGGAGCAAACAGGAUUAGAUACCCUGGUAGUCCACGCCGUAAACGAUGUCUACUUGGAGGUUGUGGCCUUGAGCCGUGGCUUUCGGAGCUAACGCGUUAAGUAGACCGCCUGGGGAGUACGGUCGCAAGAUUAAAACUCAAAUGAAUUUGACGGGGCCCGCACAAGCGGUGGAGCAUGUGGUUUAUUCGAUGCACGCGAGACUUACUACUCUUGACAUCCAGAGACCUAGCAGAGAUGCUUGUGCUCGGACUCUGAACAGUGCUGCAUGCCUGUCGUCAGCCGGGUUGUGAUGUGGGUUAGUCGCACGAGGCCACCGUAUAUGAUGCAGACUUCGUUGACCAGUAACUGCCGGUCAACUGAGAU